Molecule: long non-coding RNA, 1099 nt
Filed under: Equus caballus (horse)
Lineage: Eukaryota; Metazoa; Chordata; Mammalia; Perissodactyla; Equidae
Description: lncRNA (ENSECAG00000049459.1)
Source: RNAcentral
GUGCCAUAAAUUUCACCCCACAAGGACUCUUUGGAAGUAGGACACGGUAGGAAAGCCACCUCAAGCACGUGGAGUGAAAGUUGGGGAGGUGAGCUUUCCCAGAGCAAAAUGGGCACUGCUAUUAGAACAAGUAAGUAGAUUCUGGCUACCAAAAACUGAGUUUAGCUAGUGUGAACUGAAUUUCUGAGGGACCCACCUGACAUAUUGAACCUUUGCACAGUUGACAAUUAUUCCCUGGAUUGCCCCCAAGAUGCGGCACUUCCUGAAAUUUGGCUCAAAACAACUUAUUCCUCGCUUCUCUACAAAUGUUGAAAAUGUCUGAGGUCCCAGGGAAGUCAGCAGCCAUGUCGUGAGGACACUCAAGCAGCCCUAUGAAGAGGUUCAUAUAAGAAGGAGCUGAGACCUCCUGCCAACAGCCAACACCAAUGUGCCAACCAUGAGAGUGAGCCAACUUGAAGUGACUCCUCCAGUCCCAGUCAAGUCUUCAGAUGACUACAGCCCUGGCUGACACCUUGAUUGCAACCUCAUGAGAAACCCCAAGCCAGAACCAUCUAACCAAGCUGCUCUUGAGUUCCUGAUUCACAGAAACUGUAUGAGAUCAUAAAUGUUUAUUGUUGUUUUAAGCCAAGAAGUUUUGGUAUUUUGUUAUGCAGCAAUAGAUGAAAGCAGACAUUGUAAGAAACAACCCUAAUAUACUAUUUGCUGCAAUAACGAUAACAUUGUUUAUUAGGGGUAUUGUCUGUGAGUUUUGGCAACUUACUUCAUCUUGCUACGCUUCAGUUUCCUCAUCUCUCAAAAGGGACUAAUUAAUAGUAUCCAUCUUUCACAAUGUUUAUAGCAUUAACUGAAAUAAUAGAUGUAGAUAUCUUAGAGAAUAAAAUGGAAUCAUAGAUAGCCCAUAGUAGAAACUCAAUAAAUAUCAUCCAUCAUUAUUAUUUGCUUUUAUUUUUAUGACUAUCAUUUUUAAAUUUUAAUUUUAACCAAAUCUGCUUCUCCUCCCAUUUUCAAAAAUCAGAAACACAAUGAUCCAGGCAGUCAAAAUACCAGAAACCUAAAUAUUAUCCUUGACUGAAUUUAUGCUCAUUCUUUACAUCCAAUC